UUCUCCUUUGCUCUCUUUAUAGAAAUGAUUGUAUCAAUUUAAGAAUGUUAUUCUUCCACACUUAAGAAUUAGUUUCACAAGUUCCUCCAAAGGUUUGGCUAGAUAUUUCUUUGUUAUUACAUUUAAUGCACAGAUUAAUUUGUAGGGAAAUUUGUAGUGUUACAUUAUAAUGCUAAGUUGUCUCAUCCAUUAACUUAUCACUUGAUUUUCUUCAGGUCUUCUUUAAUUAACUUCUAACAGAAUUUUAAAUUUUGGCCCUAAAGGCUAUGUGCAUUCUCAGUGAGACUAAUUUCUAGAUAAUUUAUAGAUUUUUGUUUUAUGUAAAUGGUAUUGAAUUUUCUACUAUGUUUUAUUUAUUGAUUAAAGAUUGUGUAAAGUAGUGAUUCUCAGUCUACUUGAAAAUAAGUUAUUCGGGCAGCUUUUAAAAGAUAAGGAUGCUUCGAUCAUCUUCCUGAUCAAUUCAAUCAGAAUUGAGUCUACAUUAAAAAAAACAGUCACGGGAAUUAUUCAUGUUGAUCAGAAAUUGGCCAGAGAUAUAUUGCUCUCAAAUUGGGACGCUUCAUGAAUAGACUCAGCACUAAAAUUGAGAUUAAACUAGAAGACUUUAUACACAGUUGACCCUUGAACAGCACAACAGGACUGCAGUUGUGCACUUCUAUGUAGAUUCUGUUCAACAAAGCACCGAUGGAAAAUACAGCAUUUACAAGAUGAGAAACCCGAGUACACAGAGGAUCAAUCUUUGGUAUAACACGAGUUCCACAAGGCUAACUGUGGCAUUUGGAUACUAUGACUCAUUUAUUCAGAAGUCGCUUGGUUACCUAUGUGUUUGGCGUGGGGCUGGACUACCAGCUUGGACUAACUUAGAAAACUGGGAAAAGAACCAACUUGCCUCAAAAACAAUUUCUCCUCUUUCUCUUUAUCCUUUUUCCUCUAUUUAGACUGCUACAUUAAUAAUGAACCUAAGCUACAGAUAAACAGAAUUCAAUCACUGUGGCCAAAAGACAGGAACUUAGCUGUGGUCAGUCUCCCACAUCUGAUGUCCUCGUGGUAGAGUUCAGGGUUAGAGACUAAGCUGAAAGGAAGGAUGGGACUAGGAAGAAUUGCAUAAUCAGACCUGCCAUAUCCACACACAAAUGGCCAAGUCCAGCCAGAAAUCUUCACAGCUGUUUGAAUAAUAAAGUGGAUAAAUGAGAAGAGGCUUCAGUAAGUUAGAUCAAGCAAGUUCUCAGUACCCAGAGCUAUACUGGGAAAAGCCGUUAGAUAAUGAUAACCAAAUGUAUUUUCCUUGACUGUUCUAUAGGAUUCAGGAGUGUUACUAAAUUGUGCCUCCAAAUCUUAAAAAUAAAAGCCUCAAAAUCUAUG
This 1362-nucleotide long non-coding RNA is filed under the name Homo sapiens (human). Its description in RNAcentral is "HSALNT0111779". The record is from RNAcentral. Lineage: Eukaryota; Metazoa; Chordata; Mammalia; Primates; Hominidae.